This 91-nucleotide transfer RNA is filed under the name Cronartium ribicola 11-2. Its description in RNAcentral is "tRNA-Und (NNN) (tRNA-Und-NNN-93-1)". It matches the Rfam family "tRNA". Rfam says of the family: Transfer RNA (tRNA) molecules are approximately 80 nucleotides in length. Their secondary structure includes four short double-helical elements and three loops (D, anti-codon, and T loops). The record is from RNAcentral. Lineage: Eukaryota; Fungi; Basidiomycota; Pucciniomycetes; Pucciniales; Coleosporiaceae.
GACUGGAUAGCCUAGUGGUUAAAGGCAGCACAUCUAAUGUUGUGUCUUAGCUUACAUGCUGAGCUCCCGGGUUCAACUCCUGGUCUGGUCA